AUGCAGGAUGCAGAGCCCUGUGCUCGCCUACAGCACCCCUCUGGCUGGGACCCUGGACCCCCUGCUGUCCCCUGCCUGUCUCCCAAUGCCAGGCCUUUCCCGCUGAGCCGCCGCACAGCCCUCCCCAGGCCGGAGCGCAGGGCAGACAGAAAGAUGUCACAGCACCACACAGGAAGAGCAGCCCCUCCCCCAGCAAGGAGCCUUUCUUCUCCGCUCUCCUUCCCCUCGCCCAGCCCUCUCUGUUUCAUCGCUGUUCUAAGGAGCGGGAGGAAUGUCAUACAUGGUGCAUCCGCUUCUCUGGAAUAUGGUGAAGCUGCAUUAAAAUAUGUGCUCUGUGGGCGUCUGGCCCCGGACAGAGAUUUACGAGGGUUUAUCUUACACAUCUGCAGCACGAGGCUGACAAGAUACACAUUGCGUUUGUUUUCGGGAGCAGCCCUGAACUGCUCAUGGAAACCCAGACGGGCCAGGGCCCCGCGGCUGCUGCCCGCCCACCCUGGUCCCCUCUGAGAUGCUGGCAGCCGGCAGCACUGAGUUCCCUUCAAAGUUCAUGGGUUCGAGUCACAGAGUCUGGGAAAGGGCCCUCUGGGUCAGCUGUUUGCAGCGGGUGGGGUGCAGCCUGACCUGCAGAGAAGGGGGGCGCCAGAACGAAGGAUGCCUGGAGAGACGGGAAGGCGGGGGAGACAGUGGGGGAGCAGCCAGCGGCUCUGGGAGGGAGUGUUCUGUGAGUACAGAUUGUACGUUCAGCCAUCAUCUCCACCCACGAGGUGAGAGUUGUCAGUCCCCCAUUUCACAGGCAGAGGAAUGGAAGGUCAGAGAGGGAAGGGGCCUGUCUAAGGGCCCACAGCUGGGGGCCCCGUGAGACUGCGGAUGGGUGCUUGACAACUGGCCCUUCCCCGGGUCCCUCCCUCAGCAACUCCCGUUUCCAUUUAGGGAUCUGAGUGUUGGAGAAUGCUGACUCCCCUCUGCGUCUGGGAAGAGCCUGUGAUCCAGGCUAGGCAGGGGAAGCCAUGCUUCCUGCUGGCCUCAGUGGCUGUGGCAGCGGGCAGGAGGCAGGGCUGCAAGGAUCCCAGUGCCUGGCCAAGGGGCUUGGGCCAGGUCCUAAGGGGGGCAAAGACAUCUCUCAGGAGGAUCCAGAGCAGAGCUUGGAGAGGAUCCGGGGGAGGAGGUAGGGGAGGGGUCAGACCUGGGCAUGUGUGACAAAGGCAGACAUUCAAAUAUCAAUAAAUCCAGCUACUCACAUGGCAUCACAAACCAUGGUGUGACUGAUUAAAAAUAAAUAACAACCCUGCAUAUAAAGGCCUUAGAGAACACAUAGUCUAGAUGCUCACCCAUUUUACAGUUGGAGAAACUGAGAGACUAUUUUAUUCAGUACUCUGUGUUCAGAUUGUCUUAGAGUAAGUAGUUCAAGAAUAGUGGGGCGGUGGGUAGGUCUUAACAAUUACCUACACACCACCCUGUACCCUCUCUCCAUCCUGUUUUACUCAACAAUCCCCUCAGCUUCCCACCUCCUCCACCCUCUGUGGAGGGCUGACACUCAUCCCAGUCCCUGGCCAUAGUAAUUGAUUUGGAGAAAGAGUGACCCAAACACAUAAUCACAGUCAAUCUCCAGAGUCUUGUUUAGAAUGCUGGGACAGAAUGCUCUUGCUGACUUUCUAGAUUUGUGGGAGGAUGCAUGAAGAGUUCUCUUUUGACAGAUGUUAGAAAUUAUCCGGCCACCAGGAGAGAAAUCAGCCUAAGAAUGAAGCUCAUAGAGACACAAAGGAAGGUGGAGCUGAGAGAACAGCUGGGAAGUGGAGCUCGAGCCCUGAUCAAGCCUCACCUGAAGCUCAUAUACCCCAUUUCCCAGUGAUAUGAGUCAAUAAAUCUCUUCUCUUAUCUGCAUUAGCUUGAGUUGAGGUUUUUCACUUGUAUACUAUCUUGAAUGAUGCAUGUAGUACAGGAAGGUCAGGCCACAGACCACAGAUUUAAGUUUGAGACCUAGCUCCAGGUGUGGGAUCUUGAAUGGGUCACUUCCCUCUCUGAGCUUCACCUGUUUCCUCACUUGUAAGAUGAUGAUGGCAAACCCUGAUGGACUGGGCUGUUGAUGGAGACUAGCUUGUUGGGCUCUUCUAAUACAGAUGACACCAAAUAAGUCUCCAGAAUUGCACGCUCUGAGACCUUGCCCUUGGCUUGCUCCUGGGCUUAUAAGAGGAGCCUCCUGAAAUCCCUUCCCAUCAUCCAUGGUGCAGCAGCUUCUUGGAGCUGGGGAGGGGAGGCACUCUGAUUUUGGCCCCAAGGGACCACUCAGGAGCCUUGGUAGGGCACUCCAGCUGGCUUUUAGGAAGCCAGGUGGCCAAAAAUUAGUUACUUUGCUAGGUUUUUAAUGGGAAAUUGAUUCCAGGCCCAGGGAGAAGGACUACUUGCCCCAUCCUCCUGGAACCUCAGGAGCCUCCACAUGGGCCCUCACGACCCCAAGGCCUGCUUCCCGAGGAAGGCCAGGCCAACCCAAGGUGACUGAAUGCAGGGUGGGUCUUUGUUUUCAUCAUGACAGCAACACAGGUGAUAAAAACUUACACCCUGUACUUAAUAUUGGAAAGUAGAGCUCCCUCUGUGUCCAGCACCAGCGCUCUCCUCCGAGCAUCCUGAGAAGACGGUGUGGGCAACACGUGCUCAGGCGCUCAGUCGUGUCCGACUCUUUGCGACCCCAUGGACUGCAGCCUGCCAGGCUCCUCUGUCUGUGAGAUUCUCCAGGCAAGAACACGAGUGGGUUGCCAUUCCCUUCUCCAGGGGAUCUUCCCAACCCAGGGAUCAAACCUGGGUCUCCCGCAUUGGAGGCAGAUUCUUUACCAUCUGAGCCACCAAGGAAGCCCCAUGCAUGCUCAUGUAUGUCCUUUUUCUCAUACAUGUAGAAUCAGACUAUACCUGACCUCCCACAACUUGAGUUUCCAAAGAGCUUUAUUAAAGUAGAGUUCACAUACCAUAGAAUUCACCCAUUUAAUGUACAGCUCAAUGGCUUUGAGUAAACUCACAAUUUGUGUAACCAUUACCAUAACCAAUUUUAGAAUAUUUUGUGUACUCCAAAAGAGCCACACACUCCUUAGCCAUCACCCUCCAAUCCCUUUCUAUUCUCACCCCUAGGCAAACACUAAUCUACUUUCUGUCUCUGCAGGCUUGCCUAGUCUGGACACUUCAUGUAAAUGGAGUCAUAGAGUACAUGAUCUUUCAGGACUGGUUUCUUUCACUUAGCAUAACGUCUUAAAGGUUCAUCGACAUUGUAACAUGUAUUGGUACUUCUUCUUAUGGCUGACUAAUAUUCCGCUGUAUGGAGAGACCACAUUUUAUGUGUCCACUCCUCCCUUGGUGGCCACUGGGUUCUUUCUAUGUUUUGGCUUUUACGAAUAAAACUGCUAUAUCAUUCAUGUAGAAGUUUUUGUCUGGAUAUAUCCUUGCAUUUCUCCUGGACAUCUACCUAGGGUUGAAAGUGCUGGGUCACGUGGUGUGUCUUGGUUUCACCAUUUGAGGCAGUGCCAGAUGGUUUUCCACCCCAGCUGUAUCACUGUACACGCCCACCAUCAAGAUAUGGGGGCUCCAACGUCUUCACUUCCUCACCGGCACUGGUCCUUGUCUGUCUCUUUGAUUCCAGCCAUCCUCGUGGGUGUGGAGUGGGUCUGGUUAGCAAUCUGGAUUCUUUUUUAGCUUGGAGUUGGCAUAGACCCAUGUCAACAUUUUCAAUGCUCAUACAGCAUUCCUCUACACGAUGCAGCCUAUUUAAUCACUCUCCUAUUGAUGAACCCUGGGAUUAGUUCCUGCAGUGAACACCUCCAGGGCAGAGAGGUCCUGGGCAUAUUCUUCCCUUGUAGGUGUUUAGAGGAGGGUGUUUAGAAGAGACCUUCUAGACCCUGGCUGGUACUGCCUACAAGGAGAGUACCCGCUGCCCAGUUCUAGCCUAGGCUCUGCACCUGAAAUGCUGUGCAACCUUCGGGCAGUCACAGAACUUCUCUGGGCCUUCUUUGCCUCAUCUGUAAAAAGCAAGCCUUAAACUAAGUUCCCUAGCACCUUGCUCUCCUAUCCAAUCCCCUCCUUACUCUGAUAAUCACCUUUAUCCUCUUGGCGGGUGCAUUGAAAGCAUUUUUCCUUGCCAUCUCUACCACAGACCUUCUGCUGUGAUUUCAUGGCCUCAUUUGCCUUUCCUAGAACUCUUAAAACAGAGACUCAGCUGGGUUUGUGGUCUCACUAGAGGUUCAGAGAGCCUUAGUGACCAGUCCAUGGCCUCUCUCAGGUGUGUGUGGACUCUUGUGCCCAUUGUACAGAGAGGAAAGCAGAGACCUAGAGAAGUGCAGUGACCACCCCAUGGCCACAGAGAGGGCCAGAGACGGUAGCAGGGAUUUGAAUCUGGGCU
Long non-coding RNA from Bos grunniens (domestic yak), 4378 nucleotides. The record is from Ensembl. Lineage: Eukaryota; Metazoa; Chordata; Mammalia; Artiodactyla; Bovidae.